GCCUGUGUGGCUCAGUGGUUGAGCAUUGAUCUAUAAAUCAAGAGGUCAAGGUUCGAUUCCUGGUCCGGGCA
Non-coding RNA from Myotis brandtii (Brandt's bat), 71 nucleotides. The record is from Rfam. NCBI's taxonomy places the organism in Eukaryota, Metazoa, Chordata, Mammalia, Chiroptera, Vespertilionidae.